RNAcentral lists this ribosomal RNA (1944 nucleotides) under Triticum aestivum (bread wheat). RNAcentral's name for it is "partial small subunit ribosomal RNA". Lineage: Eukaryota; Viridiplantae; Streptophyta; Magnoliopsida; Poales; Poaceae. The record is from RNAcentral.
AUGUCACCAACUAUGAAAACAUCUUCUCCAGGUUCAGAGUGUUUUGAAUCGUUUGUGCCGGAAUCAGAUAAUCAGAUGAAUCAUGAUACACUACCAUCACCUCCAUCCCCAUCUAGCUCGACAAUAUCUCCUGUUUUCCCAUUGCAUGAUAUUAAGGAACCAAAUUCACAUAAAGAGAUCAAAGUUGGUGAGACAUAUGAUUAUCUCCCACAAGACUAUACAUUGACCGACCAUGAUCUAUGUGCUCAUAUAGCAAUAGAAUCAUCUUUGAGAAAACAAUUGCUGGUUCAGAUAGAUGGAAGUUCUGUCUUGCAACAUCAAUUGAUGUGCCUGCUAGAUGAGAAAGAGUGGGUAAAUGAUGAUGUGAUCAAUGCCUAUAUAUGUUGUAUAAAGGACCAAAUACAUCUCCAGAAUGAUAAUAAAGUAUAUUUUGAGAGUCCAUUUGUUACCUCACUAUUUAAACGAGAUGGCACCAUUGGAAUACAAGAAGGUAGUGCCUUCAUGACAGAGAUUGUCCUCGAAUAUAUGCAGCAUGACAUGAUUAAACUUCCAAUAAAUGCCACUAACACACAUUGGUAUUUAGCUGUUGUGAAUACAAAAAGAUGUGAGGUUCAAGUUCUAGACUCAUUGUGCUGGAAUUCUGACAGAGAUGAUCUUGCUAAUACGCUACGAGGAAUACAAUUUCAUUUGGACCUUCUUAAAAGUCAAAAGUUGGUAAGCGACGAUUGGAAAGACGUUGAUCUUACUGAAUGGAAGAUCACAGAACAAUUACAAAAGGCAAUUCAAAAAGAUAGUUCUUCAUGUGGUUUAUUUGUGGUUAAAUUUAUGGAAUAUUUCACCGGAUGUGCACUAUCCUACCCAAUUACACAGGAAAUGAUUACUUCUUUUAGGUUUAAGUUAGCCAGCAUACUAUUAUGUUGGAAAACAAACACUGCAGCAAUGACUACAAUCGUUGAAGAAAGUAACGAUGACAGCAAGGGAGAUCCUGAUGAUGUUCAAAUAUUGGAAAGUUUAGAUGAUAUAGAAAAAACAAAAACAAAAAUCCCAUUAUCUGUUGAAAAUAAAUACAGAUCACUAAUAUCAAUUCUUUCUAAUAUGACCUUACAUGAGUUAACAGCUGGACUCUGUAGCUUCAUUAAAUCAAUUAAUUACACCGAGAUUUUAGAGAAAGUAUGGAUCCGAAGUUCAAAACCAUAUCCAAUUAGCUUGUUUCUCAGAAAACUACAAGGAUUGCUAAAGGAUGAUUUACCCAUGGACCGUGAUUGCUUUAAUUUGAUCGUACGGAAGAUUAUGUUGGAUGACAUCCAAACAUCACAAAAAACAAAGCAACUGAUAGCAAAGCAUUAUCUCGACAUGAAAUUUUGGAUGACUACUGAUUUUGGGAGGCACCCAGAUUUUCGUAAAAAGUUAGAUGUGGAGCAACUAGCAAAUUCUGUUCGUAGUUGGCCUGGUAUCAAAUAUAAUGUUUCAACAUGCAAAUCGAUCCAUAUUCCAGUACAAUGCAUUGGUGAAUUCAUUCUAUUCACAUUGGAUCAAGAUACCAGAACAGUGUACAUUUUGGACCCUACUCCUAUUAAUCCAAUGUACCGAUACAACCCACUCGCAAAAUAUGUGAAAAAAAUUAUAUGGAUUUCCGAACAUUUACCGAAAGCAAUGUCAAAAGCAUGCCCUGGGUCUAGAUGGAACGAGGAUAUUCUCUUAUGGCAUCAUAGAAUCCUAGAUGAUAUUCCAGUUUACAACAGGGAAUUGUCUGGUUAUCUUGUUCCCCUAUUCAUGUCCACAUGGGAAGACGAAAGACCACAUUUGCCAUUUUUAAAGGAUGGAUAUGAACUCAGAAAACUAAUUUUGGGCCAACUACUAACAUUCAAGGACAAUGAAUGUGAAGAUAACAUGCCUGCUGGUGUACUGGACUUCAUCAAUUGUAUUAGGAAAAUCCAAAGUUAA